UGAGGAAUUUUCCGCAAUGGGCGAAAGCCUGACGGAGCGACGCCGUGUGUGCGAUGAAGUCCUUCGGGAUGUAAAGCACUGUCAGUGGGGAAGAUAUUGACGGUACCCACAGAGGAAGGCCCGGCUAACUACGUGCCAGCAGCCGCGGUAAUACGUAGGGGCCAAGCGUUGUCCGGAAUCAUUGGGCGUAAAGGGCGCGUAGGUGGUUCGGUAAGUCGGAUGUUAAAUCUACGGGCUCAACCCGUAGCCGCAUCUGAGACUGCCGGACUAGAGAAUGGUAGAGGAAAGCGGAACUUCCGGUGUAGCGGUGAAAUGCGUAGAUAUCGGAAGGAACACCAGUGGCGAAGGCGGCUUUCUGGGCCAUUUCUGACACUGAGGCGCGAAAGCUAGGGGAGCAAACGGG
This 403-nucleotide ribosomal RNA is filed under the name uncultured bacterium. Its description in RNAcentral is "bacterial SSU rRNA". It matches the Rfam family "Bacterial small subunit ribosomal RNA", at positions 355 to 776 of the family's 1533-position model. The record is from RNAcentral.